This 274-nucleotide ribosomal RNA is filed under the name uncultured bacterium. RNAcentral's name for it is "partial 16S ribosomal RNA". It matches the Rfam family "Archaeal small subunit ribosomal RNA", at positions 473 to 747 of the family's 1478-position model. The record is from RNAcentral.
AAACCAGCACCUCAAGUGGUCAGGAGGAUUAUUGGGCCUAAAGCAUCCGUAGCCUGAUCUAUAAGUUUCCGGUUAAAUCCACAUGCUCAACAUUUGGGCUGCCGGAAAAACUGUAGAUCUAGGGAGUGGGAGAGGUAGACGGUACUCGGUAGGAAGGGGUAAAAUCCUUUGAUCUCUCGAUGACCACCUGUGGCGAAGGCGGUCUACCAGAACACGCCCGACGGUGAGGGAUGAAAGCUGGGGGAGCAAACCGGAUUAGAAACCCGGGUAGUCC